CUGAUAAGAAGAGGAAUCAAACCUCUGUUAAUAGGACUACAGCCUACCGCCUAAACAUUCGACCAUCUUAC
RNAcentral lists this transfer RNA (71 nucleotides) under Abronia graminea. Its description in RNAcentral is "tRNA-Tyr". Lineage: Eukaryota; Metazoa; Chordata; Lepidosauria; Squamata; Anguidae. The record is from RNAcentral.